GACGAACGCUGGCGGCGUGCCUAAUACAUGCAAGUUGAGCGCUGAAGGUUGGUACUUGUACCAACUGGAUGAGCAGCGAACGGGUGAGUAACGCGUGGGGAAUCUGCCUUUGAGCGGGGGACAACAUUUGGAAACGAAUGCUAAUACCGCAUAAAAACUUUAAACACAAAUUUUAAGUUUGAAAGAUGCAAUUGCAUCACUCAAAGAUGAUCCCGCGUUGUAUUAGCUAGUUGGUGAGGUAAAGGCUCACCAAGGCGAUGAUACAUAGCCGACCUGAGAGGGUGAUCGGCCACAUUGGGACUGAGACACGGCCCAAACUCCUACGGGAGGCAGCAGUAGGGAAUCUUCGGCAAUGGACGAAAGUCUGACCGAGCAACGCCGCGUGAGUGAAGAAGGUUUUCGGAUCGUAAAACUCUGUUGGUAGAGAAGAACGUUGGUGAGAGUGGAAAGCUCAUCAAGUGACGGUAACUACCCAGAAAGGGACGGCUAACUACGUG
RNAcentral lists this ribosomal RNA (497 nucleotides) under uncultured bacterium. RNAcentral describes it as "partial 16S ribosomal RNA". It matches the Rfam family "Bacterial small subunit ribosomal RNA", at positions 28 to 507 of the family's 1533-position model. The record is from RNAcentral.